This 108-nucleotide non-coding RNA is filed under the name uncultured Lawsonibacter sp. RNAcentral's name for it is "FMN riboswitch (RFN element)". It matches the Rfam family "FMN riboswitch aptamer (RFN element)". From Rfam's summary of the family: The RFN element is a highly conserved domain that is found frequently in the 5'-untranslated regions of prokaryotic mRNAs that encode for flavin mononucleotide (FMN) biosynthesis and transport proteins. This element is a metabolite-dependent riboswitch that directly binds FMN in the absence of proteins. In Bacillus subtilis, the riboswitch most likely controls gene expression by causing premature transcription termination within the 5' untranslated region of the ribDEAHT operon and precluding access to the ribosome-binding site of ypaA mRNA. Lineage: Bacteria; Bacillati; Bacillota; Clostridia; Eubacteriales; Oscillospiraceae. The record is from RNAcentral.
AGUCUUCAGGGCGGGGUGCAAUUCCCCACCGGUGGUACAGCCCACGAGCCGUAAGGCAUGAUUCGGUGAGAUUCCGAAGCCGACAGUAUAGUCUGGAUGAAAGAAGAU